This 468-nucleotide ribosomal RNA is filed under the name uncultured bacterium. RNAcentral describes it as "partial 16S ribosomal RNA". It matches the Rfam family "Bacterial small subunit ribosomal RNA", at positions 28 to 507 of the family's 1533-position model. The record is from RNAcentral.
GACGAACGCUGGCGGCGUGCUUAACACAUGCAAGUCGAACGGAAAGGCCCUGCUUUUGUGGGGUGCUCGAGUGGCGAACGGGUGAGUAACACGUGAGUAACCUGCCCUUGACUUUGGGAUAACUUCAGGAAACUGGGGCUAAUACCGGAUAGGAGCUCCUGCUGCAUGGUGGGGGUUGGAAAGUUUCGGCGGUUGGGGAUGGACUCGAGGCUUAUCAGCUUGUUUGUGGGGUAGUGGCUUACCAAGGCUUUGACGGGUAGCCGGCCUGAGAGGGUGACCGGCCACAUUGGGACUGAGAUACGGCCCAGACUCCUACGGGAGGCAGCAGUGGGGAAUAUUGCACAAUGGGCGGAAGCCUGAUGCAGCAACGCCGCGUGCGGGAUGACGGCCUUCGGGUGGUAAACCGCUUUCGCCUGUGACGAAGCGUGAGUGACGGUAAUGGGUAAAGAAGCACCGGCUAACUACGUG